This is a long non-coding RNA of Apis laboriosa (Himalayan honeybee), 1428 nucleotides long. RefSeq lists it as uncharacterized. Lineage: Eukaryota; Metazoa; Arthropoda; Insecta; Hymenoptera; Apidae. The transcript is spliced from 5 exons. The record is from RefSeq and is a predicted model, not a curated record.
CGAAUGGUUUCGCUGUAUUGUGAUAUUCAUGGCAAUGAAACAAAAAUUCGUUCGUGGCAAUCAUGCAUCCCUGUCUAUCUCACCCUCCUGAACUUUUUGAUGUUGGCUCAAAAUAAUUGGAUAUUCAUUGCAAUUAUUCUACAUUUUUUAAUAAGUUCGAUAGGGUUUGAUCUAUACAGAAACGCAUCGAUAAACUUAUGCAACAUCGAGAAUUCAACAGUUCGUCAAGCAUUACGUGACUUUUAACAUUUAACGCGCGUUGUUAUAUGAAAUAUUGAUUUGUAAUUGAAGACAAGGCGAAUUUCUCGAUGUUACGUGCUUAAAUAAAUGAAGAAUGACUUGAAAUCUUGGAAAGAGAGAAUAAGAUUUGUUUACUCGAAGAAGAACUUAUAUUCCAUCGAGAAGGACUGAUGAUAUUUUAUAAAAAAAAAAAAAAAUAACAGGUUCACAUAAAAAAACAUGUUACUAAACUAUAGAAAGAUUUGAGAUUCAUCUUUUUCAAUUGUCUUUCUUCGAUGAAUCAUUCUAUAUGAAUUAUCAUAUACUACAAUCUACAUGUGAUCAUAACACCUAAUAUGAAAACCAUUAUUGAGAAUGCUUGUUACAUGUCAAUCAAACUGCGACCUCCACCUCAGCUGCAAUAAUUAAUAUCUCCUAAAUAUUAUUUGUCAUUAUGGGCAAAAAAGCAAAAAAAUGAAAAGUCCUUCAAUUUUACACCAAAAAAUGAAAAAUCAAAAAUCUGAAGCGCAAGCGAAACGCAACGAAAAAUAUUGUUGCAUUCCAAUAUAAACUCGUCUAUGAAUAAUUUGAAUAACUAUCUUAAAAAAUACCACCAAAAAUGGCUCUUGUUGAACCAUGGAAAAUCGUGAUAUUCUCUCGACGAUCGUCUGACUACAUCGAUGAAGAUCCAAGCACUAUAUAAGCACUAGAUGCAUAUGAAAUCAUUGCUUUCGUUGAUGAUGAGGAAAAUGGAUUAAUACCGUGGCACGAGUAAGUGCAUUGAGUAUGAUUUGAACCCUUAUAUACUUGGGUUUGAUUUUUAUGUAUCUUUUGCAGGUAUUGUACAAUACAAACCAAAAGAUAUGAAAUUAGAUAACUUAAACAAUUUAUAAUCUUGAUAAUGAUAUAUUAUAUAUAAUGACAUAUAUAUAUCAUCAUAAUUAUUUGAUUAAAAAUAUAGUAUAUAUAUAUAUACUAUAUUUUUAAUUAAAUAAUUAUGAUGAGUGAAAAAUCAUUUUAUAAUCAUUUUAUAAUUCUUUAUGAAAAAAUUUACAAAAUUUGAAUUGAAAAAAUUAGUAUAAUUUUAUGCUUUUGGUUGAUAAUGUACCAUUUAAAGUGAAUAAUUAGUUCAAUUAUUUGAAGAUACUAAUCUAAAUUUUAAAAUAGAGAUAUGACUUUAUGCAAUAUUAAGAAAAUACCAAAAAUUAG